GAUGAACGCUGGCGGCGUGCCUAAUACAUGCAAGUCGAGCGAACAGACGCGGAGCUUGCUCCUCUGACGUUAGCGGCGGACGGGUGAGUAACACGUGGAUAACCUACCUAUAAGACUGGGAUAACUUCGGGAAACCGGCGCUAAUACCGGAUAAUAUAUUGAACCGCAUGGUUCGAUAGUGAGAGACGGUGUUGCUGUCACUUCUAGAUGGAUCCGCGCCGCAUUAGCUAGUUGGUAAGGUAACAGCUUACCAAGGCAACGAGGCGUAGCCGACCGGUUGGAGGGCUCGGCCGCCUGAGAGCUUGGCCACCCUCCAUACUCCUGCGGUAGGCACCAGUAUCGAACCUGCCGCAGUGGGCGGAAGCCUUACGGAGUAGCCCCGCGCGAGUUAUGACAGUCUCCUGAUCGUAAUGCCCGGUUAUGAGUUAAAAACAACUUUGUAAUUAACCAUGCACUGCUUGACGGUACCUAAUCAGAAAGCCACGGCUAACUACGUG
RNAcentral lists this ribosomal RNA (497 nucleotides) under uncultured bacterium. RNAcentral's name for it is "partial 16S ribosomal RNA". It matches the Rfam family "Bacterial small subunit ribosomal RNA", at positions 28 to 507 of the family's 1533-position model. The record is from RNAcentral.